UUAAGUGUUGAGGGCAGGUUUAGGAUAGGGGAGGGUUAAGUGUUGAGGGCAGGUUUAGGAUAGGGGAGGGUUAAGUGUUGAGGGCAGGUUUAGGAUAGGGGAGGGUUAAGUGUUGAGGGCAGGUUUAGGAUAGGGGUGGGUUAAGUGUUGAGGGCAGGUUUAGGAUAGGGGUGGGUUAAGUGUUGAGGGCAGGUUUAGGAUAGGGGAGGGUUAAGUGUUGAGGGCAGGUUUAGGAUAGGGGAGGGUUGGGUGUUGAGGGCAGGUUUAGGAUAGGGGAGGGUUAAGUGUUGAGGGCAGGUUUAGGAUAGGGGAGGGUUAAGUGUUGAGGGCAGGUUUAGGAUAGGGGUGGGUUAAGUGUUGAGGGCAGGUUUAGGAUAGGGGAGGGUUAAGUGUUGAGGGCAGGUUUAGGAUAGGGGAGGGUUAAGUGUUGAGGGCAGGUUUAGGAUAGGGGAGGGUUAAGUGUUGAGGGCAGGUUUAGGAUAGGGGAGGGUUAAGUGUUGAGGGCAGGUUUAGGAUAGGGGUGAGUUAAGUGUUGAGGGCAGGUUUAGGAUAGGGGUGGGUUAAGUGUUGAGGGCAGGUUUAGGAUAGGGGAGGGUUAAGUGUUGAGGGCAGGUUUAGGAUAGGGGUGGGUUAAGUGUUGAGGGCAGGUUUAGGAUAGGGGAGGGUUAAGUGUUGAGGGCAGGUUUAGGAUAGGGGUGGGUUAAGUGUUGAGGGCAGGUUUAGGAUAGGGGAGGGUUAAGUGUUGAGGGCAGGUUUAGGAUAGGGGAGGGUUAAGUGUUGAGGUCAGGUUUAGGAUAGGGGUGGGUUAAGUGUUGAGGGCAGGUUUAGGAUAGGGGUGAGUUAAGUGUUGAGGGCAGGUUUAGGAUAGGGGUGAGUUAAGUGUUGAGGGCAGGUUUAGGAUAGGGGAGGGUUAA
Oncorhynchus tshawytscha (Chinook salmon) is the source of this 914-nucleotide long non-coding RNA. RefSeq lists it as uncharacterized. The transcript has 7 exons. The record is from RefSeq and is a predicted model, not a curated record. NCBI's taxonomy places the organism in Eukaryota, Metazoa, Chordata, Actinopteri, Salmoniformes, Salmonidae.